This 636-nucleotide ribosomal RNA is filed under the name uncultured bacterium. RNAcentral describes it as "bacterial SSU rRNA". It matches the Rfam family "Bacterial small subunit ribosomal RNA", at positions 9 to 638 of the family's 1533-position model. The record is from RNAcentral.
GAGUUUGAUCCUGGCUCAGGAUGAACGCUGGCGGCGUGCUUAACACAUGCAAGUCGAACGGGCUCAUAUUGAAACCUAGUGAUGUAUGAGUUAGUGGCGGACGGGUGAGUAACGCGUGGAGAACCUGCCGUAUACUGGGGGAUAACACUUAGAAAUAGGUGCUAAUACCGCAUAAGCGCACAGCUUCGCAUGAAGCAGUGUGAAAAACUCCGGUGGUAUACGAUGGAUCCGCGUCUGAUUAGCUGGUUGGCGGGGUAACAGCCCACCAAGGCGACGAUCAGUAGCCGGCCUGAGAGGGUGAACGGCCACAUUGGGACUGAGACACGGCCCAAACUCCUACGGGAGGCAGCAGUGGGGAAUAUUGCACAAUGGGGGAAACCCUGAUGCAGCGACGCCGCGUGAGUGAAGAAGUAUUUCGGUAUGUAAAGCUCUAUCAGCAGGGAAGAAAUACUGACCUUACGGUCAGCAGACGGUACCUGACUAAGAAGCCCCGGCUAACUACGUGCCAGCAGCCGCGGUAAUACGUAGGGGGCAAGCGUUAUCCGGAUUUACUGGGUGUAAAGGGAGCGUAGACGGCAGCGCAAGUCUGAAGUGAAAUCCCAUGGCUUAACCAUGGAACUGCUUUGGAAACUGUGC